Molecule: RNA transcript, 1637 nt
Organism: Anguilla rostrata (American eel)
Lineage: Eukaryota; Metazoa; Chordata; Actinopteri; Anguilliformes; Anguillidae
Gene name: proheparin-binding EGF-like growth factor
Exons: 5
Source: RefSeq, a predicted model, not a curated record
CCCCCACACCCUGUGCAGUAUAAAGGUGGGGAAACGCAGGAGAGCACACACACACACUCCUCCCAUCUUCAGUCUCUCUGAGCACGUCAUGAACUCUGCUCUCCUGUUCUGGGUCCUGUCCCUAGCAUGCUGGUGCACAGUAACUUUGGGAAGUGAGGUCACUCGUACCCCCGCAUCGGAGGAGAGGAGCAGCGUGACAUCAUCAGGGACUGACAUUCAGAGCUCAGCUGAUGAGGACAAUGAGCUGGAACAGAAUGACUUUGCAGAAUUACCGCUGGCAGUUCAGUAUCUCGCUAAAAAGGAGGGAAGAAACCGAAAAAAGGGGAAAGGAAAGAAACGGCACAAGGGAGCCUCCCACAGCACGCCCAGCGACGCCCCGAGCCACGCCCCCACCCACACGCCCGGCCACACCUCCGCACAGGUGGAGGGCGAGGACCUCUGCCUCACCACCCAUCAGCACUACUGCAUACACGGGGACUGCAAGUACAUGGCCGACCUACGCGAGCCCACAUGCGUGUGCAUGAUGGGAUAUGACGGGGAGCGCUGUGGGAUCCAGCUGAUGAAGACUGAGCUAAAGAAGGCGGACGAGGAGGUGGUGCAGACUGUGCUGGUGGUGAUCGCUGUUGUCUUGUCCCUCAUCAGCUGCUGUGCUAUCCUGCUCAUGAUCUGUGCACAGUGAGUUCACCUGAACACACCUGCACUCACACCUGCACACACACCUGUACACAGCUCACACUCGUACACACCUGCACACACACCUGUACACAGCUCACACCUACAGUCUCACCUAUACACACCUCCCAUCGUCUAUACACAGCUUUUAUAUAUUUGUCCUUUAUUUAAACAGACAAUUGAGGUCUAACUGAGGUCAAGAUUUCUUUUUCAAUAGAGACCUGCUAAAUAUAAACCCUAUUUAAAAGCUCUAUACAGGACCAACACAGUGCAGAGGUACAUCAGCAUACAGCAGUCACACAUCAAACAAUAAGCAGAUUAAAGGAGGCAUGUGCAAGCAGUAUUAUUCUGUACACUCUCCUGCGCAGAGCUCGCAACUGUUGACAAUCACACAAGAGCAGCAAUCAAUCCCAUUUCAAUUCAGCCAAUUCACAUAUACUGAAAUUCAAUUUAUUAACUGCAAAGAAACUGAUAGGAUAUUAUGGUCAUUUUUCUGCUCAUGAAUUCGAUUUCGACUGUUCCAGACUCUGCUACACACGUCAGAAUGCAGCCACACAGACCUGUAAAAGCAGCCAAAACAGACUAGCAUAAAGAUAUCUACAUAUCUCAGCGUAUUGGAACCUGCGCAAGCCGUCCUUCGUAGCAGCGCACAUUGCACAAACACACCUGAUAAGUCCUGGCCCAGCCACAGGUAUUUCCUGUAAGCUUGCCACACCUGUGUCACUUGUAGGCCAAAGGCCAAAGCGGGGACAGAGUCGAAUAUAAAUCUCUCCAAUGAGACUCAGUCGGACAGUCAGUGACAGAACAGGUGCAGAGCAGAACGUUUUUUAACCUGUAGUACACUCUGCAGAUUAAAGACUAAGAGUAUUUCAGGAGUAAAGGGUGAGUAUUAGGGGGAAAAAAACAGAGUAUUGGAGGAGUAAAGGGUGAGAUAUUGGGGAAGUAAAGAGUGAGUAUUACGGAAG